This 72-nucleotide transfer RNA is filed under the name Ornithorhynchus anatinus (platypus). It matches the Rfam family "tRNA". Rfam says of the family: Transfer RNA (tRNA) molecules are approximately 80 nucleotides in length. Their secondary structure includes four short double-helical elements and three loops (D, anti-codon, and T loops). The record is from Rfam by way of RNAcentral. Lineage: Eukaryota; Metazoa; Chordata; Mammalia; Monotremata; Ornithorhynchidae.
AGCAGGGUGGCCUAGAGGAAAGAGCAUGGGCCUGGGAAUCCAAGGUCCUGGGUUCUAAUCCCAACACUGCCA